GAUGAAUGUAAAUGUUACAAAUUAAAAUGGGCCUAACAGGCCUUGAAACAUCUUAUCGUCUUCUUCUUCUUUCUUCCAAUAUUGAAAUUCAGCUCCAAGUGGUAGUUGUCCUGAAUUCAAAAAUGAAGGAAUUAAUUUGUUUUUUGGACUUUUUUCUGCACUGAUAAGUCCAAGUCCACGUCCACACAUGACCAGUUGGCUUGCUUGUGGCCCAAACGCAUAUUAUAAGUUGAAAAUUUUGAUUUUCUUUGCUGUGAAACGCGUUAAAUUGACUGAAAACGAAAGGCAACUACACUUGGGUUGGGGGUUAUAUAAACUGGGGGGUUAAACACCCAUUCUGAAUCAUUGAAAAACAAAAAUGAAUUUGAGGAAGUUGGUUGUUUUUUGUAAUGUUCUCUUGAUUUUUAUCAUUUUUUUAGCUUUUCAAGUGGCUGCAAGGGAAUUACUUGAGCAUUCCACCACUCGUGUCACAGGUAAGAUGGAUAGGGAGUUCAAACAAACCAAUAAUGCUGAUAAUCCCUGGGGCCACGGUUAUAUUCACAAUUGAAGAUGAUGUUGUUUCAUCCUAAUCUUACCGUUUGGUGUGGUAUUGAGUCCUUUGUGGUUCACUACUACUCUUUUCAAAUAAUUGUAAGAUGGUACGUUGUAAAACCAUGAUGGGUUAAUAAAAUUCAACUCAAGGGUUUCCAAGGCUCUUGUUUUUAAUUUGUUUGUCCCCAUCCUUUGGGCUAGGUUUUGUGUUUCCUUUCCCUGUUUGGUUUUAUGGAAAAUAUUUGUAACAAUAUAAUAAUAAAAUAUAAAGUAAAUGGUGGGAGA
This is a long non-coding RNA of Camellia sinensis, 816 nucleotides long. RefSeq lists it as uncharacterized. Lineage: Eukaryota; Viridiplantae; Streptophyta; Magnoliopsida; Ericales; Theaceae. The record is from RefSeq and is a predicted model, not a curated record.